This 263-nucleotide ribosomal RNA is filed under the name uncultured Streptococcus sp. RNAcentral's name for it is "partial 16S ribosomal RNA". It matches the Rfam family "Bacterial small subunit ribosomal RNA", at positions 1118 to 1382 of the family's 1533-position model. Lineage: Bacteria; Bacillati; Bacillota; Bacilli; Lactobacillales; Streptococcaceae. The record is from RNAcentral.
CCAUCAUUCAGUUGGGCACUCUAGCGAGACUGCCGGUAAUAAACCGGAGGAAGGUGGGAGUGACGUCAAAUCAUCAUGCCCCUUAUGACCUGGGCUACACACGUGCUACAAUGGUUGGUACAACGAGUUGCGAGUCGGUGACGGCGAGCUAAUCUCUUAAAGCCAAUCUCAGUUCGGAUUGUAGGCUGCAACUCGCCUACAUGAAGUCGGAAUCGCUAGUAAUCGCGGAUCAGCACGCCGCGGUGAGUACGUUCCCGGGCCUU